UGCAGUCGACGAGAAGUGGAGCAAUCCAUGAGUAAAGUGGCGCACGGGUGAGUAACACGUGACUAACCUACCCUUGAGUGGGGAAUAACCUCGGGAAACCGGGGCUAAUACCGCAUAACACCUUCGGGUCAAAGGAGCAAUUCGCUUAAGGAGGGGGUCGCGGCUGAUUAGCUAGUUGGUGGGGUAAUGGCCUACCAAGGCAAUGAUCAGUAUCCGGCCUGAGAGGGCGCACGGACACACUGGAACUGAAACACGGUCCAGACUCCUACGGGAGGCAGCAGUGGGGAAUUUUGCACAAUGGGGGAAACCCUGAUGCAGCAACGCCGCGUGGAGGAUGAAGUCCCUUGGGAUGUAAACUCCUUUCGACCGGGACGAUUAUGACGGUACCGGUGGAAGAAGCCCCGGCUAACUCUGUGCCAGCAGCCGCGGUAAUACAGAGGGGGCAAGCGUUGUUCGGAAUUAUUGGGCGUAAAGGGUGCGUAGGCGGUGCGGUAAGUCUUCUGUGAAAUCUCCGGGCUCAACUCGGAGCCUGCAGGAGAAACUGCCGUGCUUGAGUAUGGGAGAGGUGAGUGGAAUUCCUGGUGUAGCGGUGAAAUGCGUAGAUAUCAGGAGGAACACCUGUGGCGAAAGCGGCUCACUGGACCAUAACUGACGCUGAGGCACGAAAGCUAGGGGAGCAAACAGGAUUAGAUACCCUGGUAGUCCUAGCCCUAAACGAUGAUUGCUUGGUGUAGCAGGUACCCAAUCCUGCUGUGCCGCAGCUAACGCGUUAAGCAAUCCGCCUGGGGAGUACGGUCGCAAGGCUG
RNAcentral lists this ribosomal RNA (806 nucleotides) under uncultured Acidobacteriota bacterium. RNAcentral's name for it is "bacterial SSU rRNA". It matches the Rfam family "Bacterial small subunit ribosomal RNA", at positions 56 to 896 of the family's 1533-position model. Lineage: Bacteria; Pseudomonadati; Acidobacteriota. The record is from RNAcentral.